RNAcentral lists this ribosomal RNA (519 nucleotides) under uncultured Actinomycetes bacterium. RNAcentral describes it as "bacterial SSU rRNA". It matches the Rfam family "Bacterial small subunit ribosomal RNA", at positions 384 to 896 of the family's 1533-position model. The record is from RNAcentral. Lineage: Bacteria; Bacillati; Actinomycetota; Actinomycetes.
UGACGCAGCAACGCCGCGUGGGGGAAGAAGGCCUUCGGGUUGUAAACCCUUCAGUUGGGACGAAGCUUCGACGGUGAACAGCCGUCUGGAGUGACGGUACCUUCAGAAGAAGCCCCGGCUAACUACGUGCCAGCAGCCGCGGUAAUACGUAGGGGGCUAGCGUUGUCCGGAAUCAUUGGGCGUAAAGCGCGUGUAGGCGGCCCGGUAAGUCCGCUGUGAAAGUCGGGGGCUCAACCCUCGAAAGCCGGUGGAUACUGUCGGGCUAGAGUACGGAAGAGGCGAGUGGAAUUCCUGGUGUAGCGGUGAAAUGCGCAGAUAUCAGGAGGAACACCAAUUGCGAAGGCAGCUCGCUGGGACGUCACUGACGCUGAGACGCGAAAGCGUGGGGAGCAAACAGGAUUAGAUACCCUGGUAGUCCACGCUGUAAACGAUGGGCACUAGGUGUGGGGGGUGUCGACUCCCUCCGUGCCGAAGCUAACGCAUUAAGUGCCCCGCCUGGGGAGUACGGCCGCAAGGCUA